RNAcentral lists this ribosomal RNA (814 nucleotides) under uncultured Bacillus sp. Its description in RNAcentral is "bacterial SSU rRNA". It matches the Rfam family "Bacterial small subunit ribosomal RNA", at positions 81 to 873 of the family's 1533-position model. Lineage: Bacteria; Bacillati; Bacillota; Bacilli; Caryophanales; Bacillaceae. The record is from RNAcentral.
UUUUCUUGAGGUUAGCGGCGGAUGGGUGGGUAACACGUGGGCAACCUACCUGUAAGACUGGGAUAACUUACGGAAACGUGAGCUAAUACCGGAUAGUUUCACUUCUCGCAUGAGAGGUGAAGGAAAGAUGGCUUUUAGCUAUCACUUACAGAUGGGCCCGCGGCGCAUUAGCUAGUUGGUGGGGUAAAGGCCUACCAAGGCGACGAUGCGUAGCCGACCUGAGAGGGUGAUCGGCCACACUGGGACUGAGACACGGCCCAGACUCCUACGGGAGGCAGCAGUAGGGAAUCUUCCGCAAUGGACGAAAGUCUGACGGAGCAACGCCGCGUGAGCGAAGAAGGUCUUCGGAUCGUAAAGCUCUGUUGUUAGGGAAGAACAAGUACCGGAGUAACUGUCGGUACCUUGACGGUACCUAACCAGAAAGCCACGGCUAACUACGUGCCAGCAGCCGCGGUAAUACGUAGGUGGCAAGCGUUGUCCGGAAUCAUUGGGCGUAAAGCGCGCGCAGGCGGUCCUUUAAGUCUGAUGUGAAAUCUUGCGGCUCAACCGCAAGCGGUCAUUGGAAACUGGGGGACUUGAGUGCAGGAGAGGAAAGCGGAAUUCCAUGUGUAGCGGUGAAAUGCGUAGAGAUAUGGAGGAACACCAGUGGCGAAGGCGGCUUUCUGGCCUGUAACUGACGCUGAGGCGCGAAAGCGUGGGGAGCAAACAGGGAUUACAUCACCCCUGGCAUGUCCACCGCCGUUAAACGAUGAGUGCCUAAGUGUUGGAGGGGUUUUCCGCCCUUUCAGUUGCUUGCAAUGCUAAACGGCCAAUU